CCUCGGCCACUCAGCCUUCCGCCCAAGGACAAAUGGGGUCAGGGCAGCAGCUGUACCUGGCGAGAAUGCACUCCCUUCCUGGGGGGCCACUUUUUUCCAGGAGUGCAUGGCCCUGGGCUGGCUGCUGAGACCUGUGCCCAGCCCCUCCGUGGUGGUACUCUCGUCAGACACCAGCCUCUGCGGCACCCAGGGUGGAGGUCCUGCUAUCUCCUCUCUGCAGAUGAGGAGUUCUCUCAUCCGAACCUCACGGCUCAAGGAACAGAAAGCUGGACCAACGGUGGUCAAAUACAGUGGGCGCUUAACUACCUCAUGGGAGUGAAUGGAAAGGAGUUCCCAAGGACCCCGGGUUCUAGCCCCAGGGCCCUGUGGAUGGAUCUCACGUGGAAAGGGGGCUUUGCCUCUCAAGGAUCUGGCGAUGCGGAGAGCAGCCUGGGUUAUCCUGCAGCCACGAGAAUCUAAUACAUUCAUGAAAGGAGCCUGGAGGUGGGUGGCACCGGCGUUGAGAAGGAGGUAAUGACAUCACCCAGGGCCCUGGCUCCUUUCCCUCAGUCAUCCUUGAAUGUUGGCUACUUGUUCUCUGGCUCCUGACCUCACAGUCACAAGACGGCUGCCACUGCUCCAGGCGUCCCAUCCUCACACGACAGCCUCUGAAGCAGAGAGUGAGAAAGGGUGGGUGUGGCUUCUCCUUGUAUGGGUCUAUCUUUCAUCAAGGAGGAAAGCCUUUCUCAGAAGCCCAUCAGUGCACUUCCCAGGCUACAUCCAAGCAAGGUCCCAUAGCUAUCCUGGGCCCAUCCAUGGCAAAGGGAAUAGGUUGACCUGAUGGGCUUAGACCAGUCACAGGUCAUCUACUGGGCUAGGCCCACGCUCCCCAGGCACAAGCAGGUUCUGUUGGCAAGGAUAGGAGGGGGAUGGGGGCUGGGGUCAGUCGCGGUCAUGGAGUUGUGGGGAGUGCCUGGACCGAGAGAGUGAGAGGCAGGAUGGCUGCAGUGUGACCUCCUGGGUCCCCCACCACCCAGCUGCCCCCACACACACCCAUAAACACCCAUAUUUGGAGAGGCACUGCCUAGGAUGUCCUCAGCCACUACCCUACAGGGCUCCACACCUUUCUGGUACCACAUAGGCAGGCACUCUGCCCACACAGGUCCCUGCCCACGGGCCCUCUGCGCACCUGCUCCUCCCUGAGUGUUUCCUUCCAUGACUCCCAACAGUCUUGGGGGGAAAUCAGGCCCCGUCACUGUGACAUUAACACUGUAGGACUUUGAGCCCCAUCAGGCCCACGGGAGAGCUUCCUCCUCCUCCUGUUUCCUGGGGCUGCCUGGGCGUUUCAGCUUCACUUUCUCUUCUGCACAGGCAUGGAGUGGCAUCACGGUUCAAAGCUGGCAGCCCCUGGUCCCCAGACUGCACCGGGCCAGUUCCAGCUUCUGGGGCCUGAGAGGCACGGGCCUCGGGUUCCCUGUGAGAAUUGUUCCUGGUGAUAGACCUGUGGGCUCUCUGGGGGCUGAGCGAGAGCCGUCCUAACGGGGAGAUGGCCCAUCCAGGGCCAACACGGCACCUGUGCGUUCUCCCAUCCUCCUUCCCAAGGGAGUCCUGGCCAGGCCCCUCUCCUGUGUCCGAGGAGUCUUGCCAGCCCUCAUGGUCUGUGUCACGAUCUGCAGUAGCUGUCCCAUCAGGGCUGAUCUGGAAGGAGCCUUUCCUCCACAUGGCUUUUCCCAAGUCAGCCCUCAAGUGCUGUGAGCCUGGACCGCGCCCCUGUCCUCCAGGCAGCUGCCUGCACUCCACACCCAUGCGCGUGGCAGCUCUGCGCCCAGCAGCCCUCCUGGUGUGAUUUUUAUUUAUUUACCUGAAUACUGGAACAGCUGCUUUAUUGAGAUUCAUUGGUCGCAAGGCUUAAUUAAAAUAAUGCCACGCGUCUCACUCAGCGUGGGUCACCAAAGCAAAUGUUUGUUUUGCUGCUGUCAGUUAGGGCCACGUGUGAUGAAGCGGCGGCUCCCGGCAGGGAAGGCACGUGGGCCCUGACCCCCUGCACCUCCCUGGGUUGCA
RNAcentral lists this long non-coding RNA (2040 nucleotides) under Homo sapiens (human). Its description in RNAcentral is "HSALNT0216623". The record is from RNAcentral. Lineage: Eukaryota; Metazoa; Chordata; Mammalia; Primates; Hominidae.